GAUGAACGCUGGCGGCGUGCCUAAUACAUGCAAGUCGAGCGAACAGAUAAGGAGCUUGCUCCUUUGACGUUAGCGGCGGACGGGUGAGUAACACGUGGGUAACCUACCUAUAAGACUGGGAUAACUUCGGGAAACCGGAGCUAAUACCGGAUAACAUUUGGAACCGCAUGGUUCUAAAGUGAAAGAUGGUUUUGCUAUCACUUAUAGAUGGACCCGCGCCGUAUUAGCUAGUUGGUAAGGUAACGGCUUACCAAGGCGACGAUACGUAGCCGACCUGAGAGGGUGAUCGGCCACACUGGAACUGGGACACGGUCCAGACUCCUACGGGAGGCAGCAGUAGGGAAUCUUCCGCAAUGGGCGGAAGCCUGACGGAGCAACGCCGCGUGAGUGAUGAAGGGUUUCGGCUCGUAAAACUCUGUUAUUAGGGAAGAACAAAUGUGUAAGUAACUGUGCACGUCUUGACGGUACCUAAUCAGAAAGCCACGGCUAACUACGUG
This 497-nucleotide ribosomal RNA is filed under the name uncultured bacterium. Its description in RNAcentral is "partial 16S ribosomal RNA". It matches the Rfam family "Bacterial small subunit ribosomal RNA", at positions 28 to 507 of the family's 1533-position model. The record is from RNAcentral.